Molecule: ribosomal RNA, 253 nt
Filed under: uncultured bacterium
Lineage: Bacteria
Description: partial 16S ribosomal RNA
Rfam family: Bacterial small subunit ribosomal RNA
Source: RNAcentral
UACGAAGGGGGCUAGCGUUGUUCGGAAUCACUGGGCGUAAAGCGCACGUAGGCGGAUUGUUAAGUCGGGGGUGAAAUCCUGAGGCUCAACCUCGGAACUGCCUUCGAUACUGGCAAUCUCGAGUCCGGAAGAGGUUGGUGGAACAGCUAGUGUAGAGGUGAAAUUCGUAGAUAUUAGCUAGAACACCAGUGGCGAAGGCGGCCAACUGGUCCGGUACUGACGCUGAGGUGCGAAAGCGUGGGGAGCAAACAGG